CCCCGUCAANGUCGNUGCAGGUNGUACUUGCUCACAACGCCCUUGUACCCCCCCUUUAAGAUGGUUCCAGGGCCCAGGGGGGGGGGGGACCCCCCCCCAAAUUGUGGGAUGGCGAGGCGGGGGCUUUGCCCCCCCCCCAUACUAUUUCAUGAUGAAAGCGGGGGACCGCAGGGCCUUGCGCUCACGGAGCGGCCGAUGGCAGAUUAGGUAGUUGGUGAGGUAAAGGCUUACCAAGCCUACGAUCUGUACCUGGUCUGAGAGGACGACCAGCCACACUGGGACUGAGACACGGCCCAGACUCCUACGGGAGGCAACAGUGGGGAAUUUUGGACAAUGGGCGAAAGCCUGAUCCAGCCAUGCCGCGUGCAGGAUGAAGGCCUUCUGGUUGUAAACUGCUUUUGUACGGAACGAAGAGCUCUGGGUUAAUACCCUGGGGUCAUGACGGUACCGUAAGAAUAAGCGCUGGCUAACUACGUGCCAGCGGCCGCGGUAAUAAUAAGGUGGCAGCGUUAAUCCGAUUUACUCGGCAUAAAGCGUUCGCAGGGUUGCUGUUGUUGAUAGAUCUGUUAUCCCCGGGCUCUCUUGGGGAACUGUGUUCGCGAUGUUAUAAGUUUAUUGAGUCGUAAGGGGAGGGAGUGAAGGGGGAUACUUUGGAACGCGUGUGAGUUCUUUGCACCUCCUUGGUCUGGUUUUUCUUUGUUCCUUCCCGCCUUUUACUGCGGUGUGCCUCUGCGUGGUGCGCAUGUCUCUUGUGGUGUUCCGAGAGCGUUACAUUUUG
RNAcentral lists this ribosomal RNA (778 nucleotides) under Acidovorax sp. Ca8-2J04. Its description in RNAcentral is "partial 16S ribosomal RNA". It matches the Rfam family "Bacterial small subunit ribosomal RNA", at positions 65 to 723 of the family's 1533-position model. Lineage: Bacteria; Pseudomonadati; Pseudomonadota; Betaproteobacteria; Burkholderiales; Comamonadaceae. The record is from RNAcentral.